RNAcentral lists this ribosomal RNA (557 nucleotides) under uncultured bacterium. RNAcentral describes it as "bacterial SSU rRNA". It matches the Rfam family "Bacterial small subunit ribosomal RNA", at positions 102 to 694 of the family's 1533-position model. The record is from RNAcentral.
ACGGGUGAGUAACGCGUGGGAAUCUACCGUGCCCUGCGGAAUAGCUCCGGGAAACUGGAAUUAAUACCGCAUACGCCCUACGGGGGAAAGAUUUAUCGGGGUAUGAUGAGCCCGCGUUGGAUUAGCUAGUUGGUGGGGUAAAGGCCUACCAAGGCGACGAUCCAUAGCUGGUCUGAGAGGAUGAUCAGCCACAUUGGGACUGAGACACGGCCCAAACUCCUACGGGAGGCAGCAGUGGGGAACAUUGGACAAUGGGCGCAAGCCUGAUCCAGCCAUGCCGCGUGAGUGAUGAAGGCCUUAGGGUUGUAAAGCUCUUUCACCGGAGAAGGUAAUGACGGUAUCCGGAGAAGAAGCCCCGGCUAACUUCGUGCCAGCAGCCGCGGUAAUACGAAGGGGGCUAGCGUUGUUCGGAAUUACUGGGCGUAAAGCGCACGUAGGCGGAUAUUUAAGUCAGGGGUGAAAUCCCAGAGCUCAACUCUGGAACUGCCUUUGAUACUGGGUAUCUUGAGUAUGGAAGAGGUAAGUGGAAUUCCGAGUGUAGAGGUGAAAUUCGUAGA